This 1475-nucleotide ribosomal RNA is filed under the name Candidatus Pelagibacter sp. RNAcentral describes it as "bacterial SSU rRNA". It matches the Rfam family "Bacterial small subunit ribosomal RNA". The record is from RNAcentral. Lineage: Bacteria; Pseudomonadati; Pseudomonadota; Alphaproteobacteria; Candidatus Pelagibacterales; Candidatus Pelagibacteraceae.
AAACUUGAGAGUUUGAUCAUGGCUCAGAACGUACGCUGGCGGCACGCCUAACACAUGCAAGUCGAACGAAGUAGCAAUACUUAGUGGCAGACGGGUGAGUAACAUGUAGGUAUCUGCCCUUUGGCCUGGAAUAACACGAGGAAACUUGUGCUAAUACCGGAUAAGUCUUUACGGAGAAAGCUUUAUGCACCAUUGGAUGAGCCUGCACUUGAUUAGUUUGUUGGUGGGGUAAUGGCCUACCAAGACUGUGAUCAAUAGCUGAUUUGAGAGGAUGAUCAGCCACAUUGGGACUGAGACACGGCCCAAACUCCUACGGGAGGCAGCAGUGGGGAAUCUUGCACAAUGGAGGAAACUCUGAUGCAGCGAUGCCGCGUGAGUGAAGAAGGCCCUUGGGUUGUAAAGCUCUUUCGUCGGGGAAGAAAAUGACUGUACCCGAAUAAGAAGGUCCGGCUAACUUCGUGCCAGCAGCCGCGGUAAUACGAAGGGACCUAGCGUAGUUCGGAAUUACUGGGCUUAAAGAGUUCGUAGGUGGUUGAAAAAGUUAGUGGUGAAAUCCCAGAGCUUAACUCUGGAACUGCCAUUAAAACUUUUCAGCUAGAGUAUGAUAGAGGAAAGCAGAAUUUCUAGUGUAGAGGUGAAAUUCGUAGAUAUUAGAAAGAAUACCAAUUGCGAAGGCAGCUUUCUGGAUCAUUACUGACACUGAGGAACGAAAGCAUGGGUAGCGAAGAGGAUUAGAUACCCUCGUAGUCCAUGCCGUAAACGAUGUGUGUUAGACGUUGGAAAUUUAUUUUCAGUGUCGCAGGGAAACCGAUAAACACACCGCCUGGGGAGUACGACCGCAAGGUUAAAACUCAAAUGAAUUGACGGGGACCCGCACAAGUAGUGGAGCAUGUGGUUUAAUUCGAAGAUACGCGCAGAACCUUACCAACACUUGACAUGUUCGUCGCGACUCUAAGAGAUUAGAGUUUUCGGUUCGGCCGGACGAAACACAGGUGCUGCAUGGCUGUCGUCAGCUCGUGUCGUGAGAUGUUGGGUUAAGUCCCGCAACGAGCGCAACCCUUACUUUUAGUUGCCAUCAUUAAGUUGGGCACUCUGAAAGAACUGCCAGUGAUAAGCUGGAGGAAGGUGGGGAUGACGUCAAGUCCUCAUGGCCCUUACGUGUUGGGCUACACACGUGCUACAAUGGUAUCUACAACAGGAAGCAAGACUGCGAAGUUAAGCAAAUCCCUAAAAGAUACCUCAGUUCGGAUUGCACUCUGCAACUCGAGUGCAUGAAGCUGGAAUUACUAGUAAUCGUGGAUCAGCGUGCCACGGUGAAUGCGUUCCCGGGUCUUGUACACACCGCCCGUCACACCAUGGGAGUUGGUUCUACCUUAAGGCAAGGUUUCAAACCCUUGACCACGGUAUAGUCAGCGACUGGGGUGAAGUCGUAACAAGGUAGCCGUAGGGGAACCUGCGGCUGGAUUACCUCCUUU